Pygocentrus nattereri (red-bellied piranha) is the source of this 424-nucleotide long non-coding RNA. The record is from Ensembl. NCBI's taxonomy places the organism in Eukaryota, Metazoa, Chordata, Actinopteri, Characiformes, Serrasalmidae.
AGACUGUGUGGUUCCUGUUGCGGCUCCAGACUUCCUUAGUUUGCCUGUGGAGAGGAAAGGAGAACCGAGAGACAGACAGGGCCGAGUGGUGGCGUCAGGAGCUGUAGCGCUCGCUGUGGCGUCCAGCGCAGCUGCACAUGAACUUGACCCAACACUAGAGUUGGACGAAUUUGGUGAUUUCGGCAAUCCUGAAGUGGAGGGGAGCGUCCUUUUAGACAGCCAGUACAACAUGGUGGAGUUUGCCAAGAAAUACUUCAGACAAUCUAACGGGAGCCAAAGUGAUUCAUUCAGAGACAAGUCUAAGAAAGGCAAAGGCAGAGACCCUGCGGAAAUGGUCAAAUUCAGCAAGACCCCUAUCCAGGAGUCCCUCAUCGAGUUCAAUGACCCCAAUAUGAACAGGGUCGCUUCUGAAAUCUUCCUGGGU